RNAcentral lists this ribosomal RNA (207 nucleotides) under uncultured bacterium. RNAcentral describes it as "partial 16S ribosomal RNA". It matches the Rfam family "Bacterial small subunit ribosomal RNA", at positions 568 to 774 of the family's 1533-position model. The record is from RNAcentral.
CUCGUAGGCGGUUCGUCGCGUCCGGUGUGAAAGUCCAUCGCCUAACGGUGGAUCUGCGCCGGGUACGGGCGGGCUGGAGUGCGGUAGGGGAGACUGGAAUUCCCGGUGUAAAGGUGGAAUGUGUAGAUAUCGGGAAGAACACCAAUGGCGAAGGCAGGUCUCUGGGCCGUUACUGACGCUGAGGAGCGAAAGCGUGGGGAGCGAACA